Molecule: ribosomal RNA, 465 nt
Filed under: uncultured bacterium
Lineage: Bacteria
Description: bacterial SSU rRNA
Rfam family: Bacterial small subunit ribosomal RNA
Source: RNAcentral
CCUACGGGGCGCAGCAGUGGGGAAUAUUGCACAAUGGGCGCAAGCCUGAUGCAGACAUGCCGCGUGUAUGAAGAAGGCCUUCGGGUUGUAAAGUACUUUCAGCGGGGAGGAAGGCGAUAAGGUUAAUAACCUUGUCGAUUGACGUUACUCGCAGAAGAAGCACCGGCUAACUCCGUGCCAGCAGCCGCGGUAGUACGGAGGGUGCAAGCGUUAAUCGGAAUUACUGGGCGUAAAGCGCACGCAGGCGGUCUGUCAAGUCGGAUGUGAAAUCCCCGGGCUCAACCUGGGAACUGCAUUCGGAACUGGCAGGCUAGAGUCUUGUAGAGGGGGGUAGAAUUCCAGGUGUAGCGGUGAAAUGCGUAGAGAUCUGGAGGAAUACCGGUGGCGAAGGCGGCCCCCUGGACAAAGACUGACGCUCAGGUGCGAAAGCGUGGGGAGCAAACAGGAUUAGAUACCCUUGUAGUC